UACAGAGGUCUCAAGCGUUGUUCGGAUUCAUUGGGCGGAAAGGGUGCGUAGGUGGCGCGGUAAGUCGGGUGUGAAAUUUCGGAGCUUAACUCCGAAACUGCAUUCGAUACUGCCGUGCUUGAGGACUGGAGAGGAGACUGGAAUUUACGGUGUAGCAGUGAAAUGCGUAGAUAUCGUAAGGAAGACCAGUGGCGAAGGCGGGUCUCUGGACAGUUCCUGACGCUGAGGCACGAAGGCCAGGGGAGCAAACGGG
This 253-nucleotide ribosomal RNA is filed under the name uncultured bacterium. Its description in RNAcentral is "partial 16S ribosomal RNA". It matches the Rfam family "Bacterial small subunit ribosomal RNA", at positions 524 to 776 of the family's 1533-position model. The record is from RNAcentral.